RNAcentral lists this ribosomal RNA (494 nucleotides) under uncultured bacterium. RNAcentral's name for it is "partial 16S ribosomal RNA". It matches the Rfam family "Bacterial small subunit ribosomal RNA", at positions 28 to 507 of the family's 1533-position model. The record is from RNAcentral.
GACGAACGCUGGCGGCGUGCUUAACACAUGCAAGUCGAACGGAAAGGCCUGCUUUCCCUUGUGGAUUGCGGGUACUCGAGUGGCGAACGGGUGAGUAACACGUGAGUGAUCUGCCCCCAACUUGGGUAUAAGCCUGGGAAACUGGGUCUAAUUCCCGAUAGGACUGCAGGGUGGUGCCUGUGGUGGAAAACGAUUUUCUAGUGGUUGGGGAUGAGCUCGCGGCCUAUCAGCUUGUUGGUGGGGUAAUGGCCUACCAAGGCGGCGACGGGUAGCCGGCCUGAGAGGGUGGACGGGCACAUUGGGACGGAGAUACGGCCCAGACUCCUACGGGAGGCAGCAGUGGGGAAUAUUGCACAAUGGGCGGAAGCCUGAUGCAGCGACGCCGCGUGGGGGAUGACGGCCUUCGGGUUGUAAACUCCUUUCGACCGCGAGGAAGCCACCUGGUUGGAAGGGUGGUGACGGUAGUGGUAGAAGAAGCACCGGCUAACUACGUG